This is a long non-coding RNA of Symphalangus syndactylus (siamang), 898 nucleotides long. RefSeq lists it as uncharacterized. Lineage: Eukaryota; Metazoa; Chordata; Mammalia; Primates; Hylobatidae. The record is from RefSeq and is a predicted model, not a curated record.
GAUGUCACCAACCCAAAAUAACAUCAGUCUUGGAUUUGGGAUUCAGACUAUAGACUAGUUGAAGAGUUGAGUAUCAUCAUGAUGAGUUAACUAGGCAAGUAUUACGCCACAAUUAUUAUAUUCAUGGAUCAUGAAAUAAUCUUGGAGCCAGAAAACUGGGCUGAGAAGGAGCAAGAUGGUGCAACAAUGACAUCUAUCCACUUCCAAGUCCAAGGGAAACACAGAUGUAGCCACUGCUGGAGAAGCAGUGUCUUCACUGGACAUCCAGAUCUCCAUUAUAGCAAAAAGGAAGCUUUCAGGGUCUGGAUUUUAUACAUUCCAUCCACCUGCCUGGAGAGGGAGGAGCACCACACAGAUAGGUAAGGAACAAGCAAAAAGCUCGAGGCCAUGUGUUCCCAGUGUGUUGAAGACAAGCAAAGGGAUGACAGACCGUUGGCCAGGAGAUUUUCUGCUAUCAAACAAAUGAUUAUUUAUUGAGAAUAUCUACACCCCCAGCACCAUCCAUGUCAGAUCCUCGUCAUGCUAUAUUGCCAGUUGCUAACUUACUACAGCAAGACUCAGGCCUAUUCUCUUGCAAUUGCACUCAAAAGUGAGAUCGAUCCAGGACAAUGAAAAAUUGAUUACCAGACCAAGAUCUUGCCCCUUUUCUCCCCAGGGACCUCACAGGAAGGUGGAGAUAAGAAAGGGAACUUUCAUAUCCUACUCUAAUGACCAACUGCCCUGCAGCUUCUGCACUGGAAUCAGAUGUUCCCAACCUGAGACUGACAAUUCUAGAUCACAGAACUCUUGAGUUCCAGGAGCUGGAUUUAUGAAAAAAGGAAUAUGAGAUGCCAAAGCAUCAGAAAGAGAGGGUACCAUUUUCUUAGCUAAUAUUUUACUUUUUCCCUAUCAAAUCCAC